Molecule: ribosomal RNA, 497 nt
Filed under: uncultured bacterium
Lineage: Bacteria
Description: partial 16S ribosomal RNA
Rfam family: Bacterial small subunit ribosomal RNA
Source: RNAcentral
GAUGAACGCUGGCGGCGUGCCUAAUACAUGCAAGUCGAGCGAACGGACGAGAAGCUUGCUUUUCUGAUGUUAGCGGCGGACGGGUGAGUAACACGUGGAUAACCUACCUAUAAGACUGGGAUAACUUCGGGAAACCGGAGCUAAUACCGGAUAAUAUUUUGAACCGCAUGGUUCAAAAGUGAAAGACGGUCUUGCUGUCACUGAUAGAUGGAUCCGCGCUGCAUUAGCUAGUUGGUAAGGUAACGGCUUACCAAGGCAACGAUGCAUAGCCGACCUGAGAGGGUCGUCGGCCACACUGAAACUGAGACACGGUCCAGACUCCUACGGGAGGCAGCAGUAGGUAAUCUUCCGCAAUGGGCGAAAGCCUGACGGAGCAACGCCGCGUGAGUGAUGAAGGUCUUCGGAUCGUAAAACUCUGUUAUUAGGGAAGAACAUAUGUGUAAGUAACUGUGCACAUCUUGACGGUACCUAAUCAGAAAGCCACGGCUAACUACGUG